CUGAUCGAUGUAUCAUAGAUAAGAGUCCUUAUGCUUGAAGGAACUCUUAUCUCUGAUAAUCAGAUCAAAUAAGCCUUUUGAGAUAAGGCAUGUCCCUCUCUUUUGGCAUCUCUCUGGUGGCUAUAAAUAGGCCGGGGUGCUGGGUAUCCGAUGAAUCGAAGAGGGGUUUCCAAUUUCUCUCCUAUUGCUCUCCUUUCUUUCUUACAACCUAUCUUAGUUUUAGGACAAGGCUUUGGCAUUUUAAACAAAGCCUUAUCUGGUCCUAACAAGGGUUGUAAAGGUCCUAAAGAAGGAGAAUCAGAAGUCCAGAGGAGGUUCUAAGAGGAUAAGGUUAGAUUCUUGAAGAAACUUGACCGAUACGAGGCUAGUCGAGUUCUAAGGGCUAGAACUCUUGAAGCAAGAUAAAGAAGGAGCACGGUCUUUGGUUCAAUUUCCAUGUGGAUCACCAUUAGAGGGAAGAUACUUGGAUGCUUUAUGAAAAUUGAGAUUAGCGCUAUAGGUAUUNNNNN
Molecule: long non-coding RNA, 509 nt
Filed under: Elaeis guineensis (African oil palm)
Lineage: Eukaryota; Viridiplantae; Streptophyta; Magnoliopsida; Arecales; Arecaceae
Description: long non-coding RNA (EGUI_LNC055820)
Source: RNAcentral